UAGAACUUUCGAACAUGAGCUACCCCC
Molecule: non-coding RNA, 27 nt
Filed under: Rattus norvegicus (Norway rat)
Lineage: Eukaryota; Metazoa; Chordata; Mammalia; Rodentia; Muridae
Source: RNAcentral